This 211-nucleotide ribosomal RNA is filed under the name Escherichia coli. RNAcentral's name for it is "partial 16S ribosomal RNA". It matches the Rfam family "Bacterial small subunit ribosomal RNA", at positions 168 to 381 of the family's 1533-position model. Lineage: Bacteria; Pseudomonadati; Pseudomonadota; Gammaproteobacteria; Enterobacterales; Enterobacteriaceae. The record is from RNAcentral.
ACCGCAUAACGUCGCAAGACCAAAGAGGGGGACCUUCGGGCCUCUUGCCAUCGGAUGUGCCCAGAUGGGAUUAGCUUGUUGGUGGGGUAACGGCUCACCAAGGCGACGAUCCCUAGCUGGUCUGAGAGGAUGACCAGCCACACUGGAACUGAGACACGGUCCAGACUCCUACGGGAGGCAGCAGUGGGGAAUAUUGCACAAUGGGCGCAAG